UACGGAGGGUGCAAGCGUUGUCCGGAAUCACUGGGCGUAAAGGGCGCGUAGGUGGCCGAGCAAGGUCGCGGUGAAAGCCCGGGGCUCAACCCCGGGUCGGCCGUGGCAACUACUUGGCUUGAGCACUGUAGGGGCGGGUGGAAUUCCGGGUGUAGCGGUGGAAUGCGUAGAGAUCCGGAAGAACACCGGUGGCGAAGGCGGCCCGCUGGGCAGGAAGGCUCGCAAGAGCCGGCUGACACUGAGGCGCGACAGCGUGGGGAGCAAACAGG
Molecule: ribosomal RNA, 269 nt
Filed under: uncultured bacterium
Lineage: Bacteria
Description: partial 16S ribosomal RNA
Rfam family: Bacterial small subunit ribosomal RNA
Source: RNAcentral